Non-coding RNA from Hydra vulgaris (swiftwater hydra), 2330 nucleotides. NCBI's taxonomy places the organism in Eukaryota, Metazoa, Cnidaria, Hydrozoa, Anthoathecata, Hydridae. The record is from RefSeq and is a predicted model, not a curated record.
UAUAUAUUUAUUAACAUGUAUUUACUGGUGUAUUAAAAAAAUAGUGGGACUAGUCCAAUUAAAUAUGCGGCAGUACGGCACUGACCUUAUCAUACAACUAGAAGAAAUAUUUUAUGUCAAAUAUUAAGAUAAGUAGUUUUAAUAUCUCUUCCGAUAUAUACCCGUCUUCUAAAAUAGAUAACUAUUCUACUCAAAUAAAAUAAAUACGCCAAUCAAAUGUAAGUAAUUAUUUGUUUGUAAAUAUACUUGGUAGAUAAAAAAAUUACACUAAAAUGGUUAUUUUCUCAUUUGCUUAAUAAUGUUUUUAACAGAACUGUGGCUAUAAAAAUAGCUUUUUUUGUGUGUGAAGAUUUUGACUUCAUAAUGCAAACAUGGUGCAAAUUUUCUUUUUACCACUAAGGAUUGACAUCCUAAGAGAUAAAAAUUCGAUUCUUUAGUCUAUAGAAUAAACAUUAUUAAAUGGUAUCUAAAAUAAAAUAGAACUCUGAAAAAAUAUAGUGUCCAAUCAUCAAGGAAAAAGAAGUCAUGUCUUGGUUAAGAAAUAUCUAACUGUUACUACUGCACUAAUAAAUAAAAUCUAACUGUAAAUAAAUAUAAUCUAACUAUUAUUCUUGUCUUAUUAAGGCAUCAACAUUCAUAGAAACAAAGCUUUAUCAUUCUAAAUUCUCUUAGUUGAAACUUUGCAAUGAUAAUUAAAAUAUAUCUGGUAUGCUUAAGGGUAAAAAUAAAUCAAAAUAACUUAACUUCUGAAGCAUAACAUAAUUUACCAUUAAAAUAAAAACAUUAAUAGAAGCAAGUUGAUCACUCAAUGUUUGCUUUAUUAAUUUCUCUCCAUAAUACCUGAAAUAAAAUAAAUGUGACAUAAAAAUGAAAGUUAAAAACAUAACGAUCUGAUUAUAAUCAAACCUUAAAAAAAUCAAUCAAAAAUAUUAAAUCAAUACUGAAGAACAGGCGUUUUUGCUAUAAGAAUUUAAUAAAAUUAAGUUUAUUUUCUUUAUAUUGACUUAAUAAAAUUACAUGACACUUGUCUUCUGUAUGCAGUGGCAAACAGUAAAGCAAAAGUUUCACCAGGGCUCUGAAUUAAAACCUAGCAACGAAAAUAAAAUGUAUUCAUGAUAUUAACAUCAGAAAGUAUGGGAGAGGUUAAUGUUUUUUGUUAUAAUGUUUUAGGGUAAAAAAAUUAAAAUAACUUAACUCCAGAUGCAUUACACAUUUUACCAUUUAAAUAGAAAAAUCAUUAAUGAAUAAAAAAAGCCAACCUUUUAAUGUUUUUAAUGUUUGAGCAAUUAGUCACAUUAAUAUAGGUUAUAAUAUAAAAUAUGUCUAAAGUAUAUUGGUUAAAUAAAAUAUCUUAACACUAACAUUUUGUCUUGUUAAUGCAUUAGGAUCUAUGCAUCACAUCAACAUAUUUGUGACAAGUCAAGUAAAUAGUUGAGUUUAACUAUAAGUGAGCUUUUCUGUUUGCCAGGAAGGUGUUCGUGUAAAUGUUACUCACUUUGCAACCAAAUUAACAUUAAUAGAUAAUGUUCAUUACCAAAGUACCUGAAAUAAGAACAGUUAUAUAGAAUUAAUGAAUGAAUUAAAGUCCUUUUAUAAGCAUACAAAAAAAAGGAGGAGAUAGGUAAAACAUUUCUAAUAAAAAGAUUUACAUCUGUAAAUAAAAUCUAUUAAUGCAAGUAUAUAAACUAUAUUAUUAUUUACAAUUACACAUACCUUAUUAUUACUAAUUCACACAAUAUUUGCUUAUAAUAACAUCAAAUCACUGCUUAUGAUGUCUUCAGAUAAUUUAUAUUUGCGUUUUCAUUUGGUUUCCAAUAGGAAACUAUAUAUAAAACAUUAUUUUUUUAUAAUGCGAAGAAGCCGCCCAUUGUACAUGUCUUGGCUUUUAGUGUUAGCAUUUUACCACAUGUGGCAUGUAUUUCUUCCAACAGCAUCUUCGUUGAGAAUGCCUGCAAUAUCUGCAGCUUCUUUUCCAGAUCUGGGAAGAGUUGUUUUACUUGCAGAGAACUGUUUGCAAAACUUUUGGUUUGGAUACAAAAGACCAAGUGAAAAUGAUACUGGAAAGACUGCUUACCGUUUGACUCCUGUCCCAAUCUAACCUAGUGGGUUCAAUAAGAAAGAACCGCGUUGGAAACAUGAGGGAGUUAAAAGGAUCAUCCGUUUUUGAAUUAAUAGUCGAAGUUGUAACCAGCUCGUGUGAAAGGAUUUCUCGACGUGAAAUAGUUAAUUUUAUUCAACUACGCCAAGAAACAGAGCUCGCUCAAGAAACAGAAAAGAAAGAGAAAGAUGAAAAAGUUUUCUAUUGAACAAUACUGUUGUUUUAUUUAUAA